GCGCGCGUAGUCCAGCAGCCAAGACACCUCGUUGCCAACGAGGAGAUCGCCGGUGCAACUCCGGCCGCGCGCUCCA
This 76-nucleotide transfer RNA is filed under the name Planctomycetota bacterium. RNAcentral's name for it is "tRNA-Gly". It matches the Rfam family "tRNA". From Rfam's summary of the family: Transfer RNA (tRNA) molecules are approximately 80 nucleotides in length. Lineage: Bacteria; Pseudomonadati; Planctomycetota. The record is from RNAcentral.